UAAUCUACUGUUAUGAUGGGCAGAAUUC
Molecule: small RNA, 28 nt
Filed under: Bombyx mori (domestic silkworm)
Lineage: Eukaryota; Metazoa; Arthropoda; Insecta; Lepidoptera; Bombycidae
Description: piRNA piR-bmo-2111118
Source: RNAcentral